Molecule: long non-coding RNA, 1056 nt
Filed under: Heterocephalus glaber (naked mole-rat)
Lineage: Eukaryota; Metazoa; Chordata; Mammalia; Rodentia; Bathyergidae
Description: lncRNA (ENSHGLG00100040896.1)
Source: RNAcentral
AUAGAAUCUAACUCUCAUGAUGGUCUGCAGAGGCUGGGAGGCUCAGCAGUGCCCUGCACAGGUCAGAAGUGGUGACUCAGGUAUGUAAGGGACCUGCCAAGUGUCUGCAGAAUCUGGUAUGUCUUCCCACAUCAUGGAGGUUGUGGGUCCUCUCCCUAAAACUGUGCAGAAGACCUGCACAUCACUGUCUGGAGGAUGUGAGGCUUGUUGCAAUAUUGUGUAAUCGACACCUCAACUGCCUGUUGUGCCCACAAUUGAAUCUUCCUCAACUUAUUUGUUAUUAUCUUUCCUUGAGUAAUUUAGGAGAUGCUUCAGUAUUUCAAAAUAUCUGGGGUUUUUUGGUUAUGGUUUUUAUCCUGUUCAUAUAACAGAUAGGAAUGCAUAUUCUGAACACGGGAAAACCAUCUACACAGUAGAAGAAAAAGAUCAGCAAUCCAAGGAGGAAGUGCCCACAUUGUGAGUCACCAGCUCCUGGGAGAGAAAGCUAAUGAGCAUGUGGACACGUGCUAACUUGAGGACAGACAACAAAACAAAAUGUUUUAAUGAAAGAAUGUCCCUUGAUAGCUGGCGUAAUAAAUCUUUAGCAGAACCACAGUAACUUUCACCUUUGAGUCAGCAUGGAGACAGACUGCAAGUAUUUGAAUACUCCGAACCUGGGACUAGGAUUUCAAAAACAAGAUAUGGUCUGCCCUCGAGCUGCUCAGUCCCAUGGUGGGACAAUGUGCAAGUAGAGAUCCAUGACAGUGUGACAGUGCUGUCACAGGAGCACAUUUGUGUGCAGAGUAUCUCUGCUGUGGGGUGCGGGAUGCAUGACCAGGAGAUUCAGAGAGCCAGCCCUUGCCUGGGGCGAGGGAGGCUGAGGGCUUGGUGAGGGACCUGGGGUGGGCUGGACUGGCUGUCCCUACCAGUGGCCUUGGCCAGGUGGAGGGGAGUGUGCAGAGGUGGGAGAUGACCUCUGGGAGACGUGGCCCACUGUAGUGGGAGAGGACACGGAGACUGCAGAUGCCUUGCUAUAGCCUGUGCUGGAAGCUGUGAGUGAUGCUAAGAAGGAGCGGA